GAUGAAGAACGUAGCGAAACGCGAUAUGUAAUGUGAAUGGCAGAAUUCAGUGAAUCAUCGAAUCUUUGAACGCACAUGGCGCCUUCCAGUAUCCUGGGAGGCAUGCCUGUCCGAGCGUCGUUUCAACCCUCGAGCCCCCGUGGCCCGGCGUUGGGGAUCUGCCACGGCAGGCCCCUAAAACCAGUGGCGGACCCGAAGGCCCUCUCCUUUGCGCAGUAGCAUCAGCCUCGCAUUGGGAUCCCUCGGCGUCCUGCCUCUAAACCCCCCACAAGUCCGCUCCGGCGGCACCAAGGUUGACCUCGGAUCAGGUAGGAAUACCCGCUGAACUUAAGCAUAUCAAUAAGCGGAGGA
This 351-nucleotide unclassified non-coding RNA is filed under the name soil metagenome. RNAcentral describes it as "partial contains 5.8S ribosomal RNA, internal transcribed spacer 2, and large subunit ribosomal RNA". The stretch from base 1 to 120 matches the Rfam family "5.8S ribosomal RNA", at positions 35 to 154 of the family's 154-position model. The record is from RNAcentral.